This 69-nucleotide small RNA is filed under the name Candidatus Accumulibacter sp. SK-11. Its description in RNAcentral is "int-alpA RNA". It matches the Rfam family "int-alpA RNA". From Rfam's summary of the family: Acidobacteria (1 example), Planctomycetes (1 example), Proteobacteria. Environment (Lake Washington) Lineage: Bacteria; Pseudomonadati; Pseudomonadota; Betaproteobacteria. The record is from Rfam by way of RNAcentral.
GCCGCGCCUGGAUCGGCCAAUCGAAAACCGGUCACCUUCACCCGGCUGACGUGGCAUUCCUAUUCGAGG